RNAcentral lists this unclassified non-coding RNA (378 nucleotides) under Zea mays. RNAcentral describes it as "misc RNA Zm00001eb421030". Lineage: Eukaryota; Viridiplantae; Streptophyta; Magnoliopsida; Poales; Poaceae. The record is from RNAcentral.
CGCCGCGCGACCGGAUCCAGCGCACGUCCUGCACCCGACGUCGCCGUCCGACCACCGGGCGCAGGGGCACGCAACCUUCCCUGUGCCACCGCACGCCGCGCAGUACGACCCCCGCGCGCCGCCGCCGGCGCCGGCCAGCGGCGGCGGCGGCCUCCACGCCGAGCACCACCCGCCGUCGGCCGCUGCUUGGCCGACGAGCGCGCCGAGCCCCGCGGAUGCCGCGAGCACGAUGGGCCCGAGCCCGACCAUCUCCCAAGAAUCUGACGGCGUACAAAGUAGCUGCUGCUACUCUGCUUGGUGCUCCGAUCCGAAGAUCUUUAGUCGGAGCUCGAUCGACGUUCAGCUUCGAGCUAGGAUGCGUAUGGCUGUAUGUAUGCG